RNAcentral lists this ribosomal RNA (503 nucleotides) under uncultured bacterium. Its description in RNAcentral is "partial 16S ribosomal RNA". It matches the Rfam family "Bacterial small subunit ribosomal RNA", at positions 30 to 523 of the family's 1533-position model. The record is from RNAcentral.
AUUGAACGCUGGCGGCAGGCUUAACACAUGCAAGUCGAGCGGGGUGAUGGUGCUUGCACUAUCACUUAGCGGCGGACGGGUGAGUAAUGCUUAGGAAUCUGCCUAUUAGUGGGGGACAACAUCUCGAAAGGGAUGCUAAUACCGCAUACGUCCUACGGGAGAAAGCAGGGGAUCACUUGUGACCUUGCGCUAAUAGAUGAGCCUAAGUCGGAUUAGCUAGUUGGUGGGGUAAAGGCCUACCAAGGCGACGAUCUGUAGCGGGUCUGAGAGGAUGAUCCGCCACCCUGGGACUGAGACACGGCCCAGACUCCUACGGGAGGUAGCAGUGGGGAAUAUUGGACAAUGGGGGGAACCCUGAUCCAGCCAUGUCGCGUGUGUGAAGAAGGCCUUAUGGUUGUAAAGCACUUUAAGCGAGGAGGAGGCUCUUUUGGUUAAUACCCAAGAUGAGUGGACGUUACUCGCAGAAUAAGCACCGGCUAACUCUGUGCCAGCCGCCGCAGUAA